GCCCGCAUGGCGGAAUUGGUAGACGCAGCAGUCUUGAAAACUGAAGUCCUCUCCGGGGCGUGCCGGUUCGAAUCCGGCUGCGGGCACCA
This 89-nucleotide transfer RNA is filed under the name Rhodopseudomonas palustris. RNAcentral describes it as "tRNA-Ser". It matches the Rfam family "tRNA". Rfam says of the family: Transfer RNA (tRNA) molecules are approximately 80 nucleotides in length. Their secondary structure includes four short double-helical elements and three loops (D, anti-codon, and T loops). The record is from RNAcentral. Lineage: Bacteria; Pseudomonadati; Pseudomonadota; Alphaproteobacteria; Hyphomicrobiales; Nitrobacteraceae.